This is a long non-coding RNA of Zonotrichia leucophrys gambelii, 518 nucleotides long. RefSeq lists it as uncharacterized. Lineage: Eukaryota; Metazoa; Chordata; Aves; Passeriformes; Passerellidae. The record is from RefSeq and is a predicted model, not a curated record. The transcript is spliced from 3 exons.
CCUGCCUACUCUGGAAAAACUAUUUGGACCCUGGCAGAGCCCUGUGUUAGGGCCCCUUCACCCUUGAAAACAACUAAUAAAGGAUGGGGCUGAUGCUUCCUGGAGCAGAAACAACCUUUUUGUGUGACUGAACUUUCCAGCCUGGUACCUGUAAUGAAGGUUUGUAGGAAGUGAGAGCCAGGGGAAAAAAAAAAAAACAAAAACCAGAACAAACCCAGAAAAAGGAAACAGAAACAAAAGAAAGAAGAGGUAGAAUAUAGGAAGGGGAACAGGAGAAAGCACAAAGGUCCACAAAGAAAAGAUGGUGAAGCAGCAGGAGGAACACGGACUGACUACUGAAAAGAGCAGAUGAGCAAACAGGAGGAAGCCACAUCACAGCCUAUCAACAGGGACUUUCAGAAAGACUCAAUACUCAAGCAUGUACCCCUUGAAGCCACCGAAGGAGUGUGGAUAAGAAAUGCACAAAAAGGACUGACUUUGAUACUGGGCAAGCAUCUUUCAUUCUGUACUCAGCUCUG